Molecule: long non-coding RNA, 1305 nt
Organism: Bos taurus (domestic cattle)
Lineage: Eukaryota; Metazoa; Chordata; Mammalia; Artiodactyla; Bovidae
Source: Ensembl
GGCACAUGACAUAAAAUCUGAUAGUUUAAUCACUUUUAAGUUUACAGUUCAGUAGUGUUAAGUACAUUCACAUCAUUGUGCAAUCAUCACCUGCUUUCUGUUUUUAAAGAGCAACAUUUUGAUGUGGCUAGAAAGUGCGCGACAGAGACCAUCCUCCUUGGUAUGGCAGGGCCCUUACCCUCCCCAUACCCCCAGAAGGCAAAUGUCCCCAUCUCGAGAGAGGGGGCUUUCGACAGCCAUCUGCUUCCACAGCUCCACCUCCACACAAAGUGAGGCUUGACCAGCCUUGUGGGGUCAUUUGGGUGGAUGGAGCCAAGGAUGCGGAGCCCACAGACCCCACGCUGCUGGGAAGGCACCGACCCCUGACCCUGUGAGUCACCCUAGCUUGGCUGACCCUGGCUUGGCCUUGGCAGGGCUGCAUGCCACCUCAGCUCCCACCCAGAGCUUUCCCAGGCUGGAUAAACCAGGGCAGAGAGGGGAGAAAAGCGUCCUCAGCCUGGGAACCACUGGGGCUCCGGUCGCCCAGGGCAGCUGUCAGCUGGCCAGGCCCUGCCCUUCUUAGGACCCACGUCAGCUGCCCCCUGGCUUGUCGGGUCCGCUGCCACCCAGAGCCCCUUUGGAUAAGAAGCCCUUUCACACCUGUCCAGGGGCCACGACAGCAAAGGAUGCCCUAUCUCCGGCCAGUUACCAAGACAUGCCAACCACACCUGCUCCCACUCAUCCCUUCCCUUGCCCACCAGUGUCUCGGAGAGUCUACAGCAAUGAAACCCACCCAGAAGUCCUGCUCCAAUUGGUUUUCAUGACCAUGUGAUUGACCCUGAAUUGAAACACGAUAAUGGAAUGCUUCUAAAUACACAUUCUUCUUGGAAAAUGUAUGAAGUUUUUUUCUUAAUUUUUUUAAUGGAAUCAGAGGACUUGGUUCUUGGACAGACUGUUGGUGUGAGGGUUCCCGGUGCCACCCAGAGGGAACCCACCUGGUGGGAUGCCAGGCAGCGGGCUGGCCGCGGGGCGGCCCCGAGGCCUGCUUUGAGAGCGUGCCUGUAUCACCGGUGCAGGACAGCGCCCCCUCCCGGAGUGCAGCCUUCUCCAAACCUCCUGCCUCCUCCCCUCUGGCUAUAUGAGUCUGAGGAAGCCAUCCCCAAAGUUUUGAUGCUCCUUUUUUUCUAACUUUGUAUUUUGUAUUGGGGUAUAGCCAAUUAACAAAGAUGUGACAGCUUCAGGUGAGCAGUGAAGGGACUCAGCCAUGCAUAAACAUGCAGCCAUUCUCCCCCAAACUCCCCUCCCAUCCAGGCUGCCACAUAACAC